AGAGUUUGAUCCUGGCUCAGAUUGAACGCUGGCGGCAGGCCUAACACAUGCAAGUCGAACGGUAACAGGAAGAAGCUUGCUUCUUUGCUGACGAGUGGCGGACGGGUGAGUAAUGUCUGGGAAACUGCCUGAUGGAGGGGGAUAACUACUGGAAACGGUAGCUAAUACCGCAUAACGUCGCAAGACCAAAGAGGGGGACCUUCGGGCCUCUUGCCAUCGGAUGUGCCCAGAUGGGAUUAGCUUGUUGGUGGGGUAACGGCUCACCAAGGCGACGAUCCCUAGCUGGUCUGAGAGGAUGACCAGCCACACUGGAACUGAGACACGGUCCAGACUCCUACGGGAGGCAGCAGUGGGGAAUAUUGCACAAUGGGCGCAAGCCUGAUGCAGCCAUGCCGCGUGUAUGAAGAAGGCCUUCGGGUUGUAAAGUACUUUCAGCGGGGAGGAAGGGAGUAAAGUUAAUACCUUUGCUCAUUGACGUUACCCGCAGAAGAAGCACCGGCUAACUCCGUGCCAGCAGCCGCGGUAAUACGGAGGGUGCAAGCGUUAAUCGGAAUUACUGGGCGUAAAGCGCACGCAGGCGGUUUGUUAAGUCAGAUGUGAAAUCCCCGGGCUCAACCUGGGAACUGCAUCUGAUACUGGCAAGCUUGAGUCUCGUAGAGGGGGGUAGAAUUCCAGGUGUAGCGGUGAAAUGCGUAGAGAUCUGGAGGAAUACCGGUGGCGAAGGCGGCCCCCUGGACGAAGACUGACGCUCAGGUGCGAAAGCGUGGGGAGCAAACAGGAUUAGAUACCCUGGUAGUCCACGCCGUAAACGAUGUCGACUUGGAGGUUGUGCCCUUGAGGCGUGGCUUCCGGAGCUAACGCGUUAAGUCGACCGCCUGGGGAGUACGGCCGCAAGGUUAAAACUCAAAUGAAUUGACGGGGGCCCGCACAAGCGGUGGAGCAUGUGGUUUAAUUCGAUGCAACGCGAAGAACCUUACCUGGUCUUGACAUCCACGGAAGUUUUCAGAGAUGAGAAUGUGCCUUCGGGAACCGUGAGACAGGUGCUGCAUGGCUGUCGUCAGCUCGUGUUGUGAAAUGUUGGGUUAAGUCCCGCAACGAGCGCAACCCUUAUCCUUUGUUGCCAGCGGUCCGGCCGGGAACUCAAAGGAGACUGCCAGUGAUAAACUGGAGGAAGGUGGGGAUGACGUCAAGUCACCAUGGCCCUUACGACCAGGGCUACACACGUGCUACAAUGGCGCAUACAAAGAGAAGCGACCUCGCGAGAGCAAGCGGACCUCAUAAAGUGCGUCGUAGUCCGGAUUGGAGUCUGCAACUCGACUCCAUGAAGUCGGAAUCGCUAGUAAUCGUGGAUCAGAAUGCCACGGUGAAUACGUUCCCGGGCCUUGCACUCACCGCCCGUCA
RNAcentral lists this ribosomal RNA (1401 nucleotides) under uncultured bacterium. RNAcentral's name for it is "bacterial SSU rRNA". It matches the Rfam family "Bacterial small subunit ribosomal RNA". The record is from RNAcentral.